RNAcentral lists this ribosomal RNA (389 nucleotides) under uncultured Nitrospina sp. Its description in RNAcentral is "bacterial SSU rRNA". It matches the Rfam family "Bacterial small subunit ribosomal RNA", at positions 30 to 410 of the family's 1533-position model. Lineage: Bacteria; Pseudomonadati; Nitrospinota; Nitrospinia; Nitrospinales; Nitrospinaceae. The record is from RNAcentral.
AUUGAACGCUGGUGGCGUGCUUAACACAUGCAAGUCGAACGAGAAAGUUUCCUUCGGGGAAUUAGUAAAGUGGCGCAAGGGUGAGUAUCACGUGAAUAAUCUGCCCUCGAGAUCGGGAUAACAUGGUGAAAACUAUGCUAAUACCGGAUAAGACCACAUUUCAUAAGAAAUGCGGUAAAAGGAGUCUCAAUCUUCACUCGAGGAUGAGUUCGCGCAACAUUAGCUUGUUGGUGAGAUAAAAGCUCACCAAGGCUACGAUGGAUAGCCGGCCUGAGAGGGCGAUCGGCCACACUGGAACUGAGACACGGUCCAGACUCCUACGGGAGGCAGCAGUGGGGAAUAUUGCGCAAUGGGCGAAAGCCUGACGCAGCAACACCGUGUGAGCGAUG